This 748-nucleotide ribosomal RNA is filed under the name Ordtrachia grandis. RNAcentral's name for it is "partial 16S ribosomal RNA". The stretch from base 345 to 497 matches the Rfam family "Archaeal large subunit ribosomal RNA", at positions 1886 to 2087 of the family's 2987-position model. Lineage: Eukaryota; Metazoa; Mollusca; Gastropoda; Stylommatophora; Camaenidae. The record is from RNAcentral.
CGCGAAAGUAGUUGAGCUAAAUAAUUAUAAUUAUUAGAUUAACAUAUGUAACAUAAUAAAGUUAAAUAAUUACUUAGGGGUGAUAGGCUAAUCAAAUCUACAGAUAUCUCGGUAUGUUUAAAAAACAUUAAGUGUUGUGUCAAUCAAUUAGUGAUAAGGCUACUUGAAAGCAUGAAAUAAGAUAUUAAAUUAUAUCCUGAUUUAACCGUCAGAUAUUUCUUUAAAAUACUAUUUUUGUAUUCUAGAUUAUGUAAAUUAAAAAGUAACGUCCUAAUUAAAUGAAUUGUUUAAAAUGUCACUAUUAGUAAAUUAAUAGAUAUUUAAAAUGAACUCGGCAAAUUAUCUUUCAACUGUUUAUCAAAAACAUAGCUAUGUGAAAUUAUUCAUAGUAAUUUCUGCUCAAUGAACAGUUAAAUAGCCGCAGUACCCUGACUGUGCAAAGGUAGCGUAAUAAUUUGGCUUUUAAUUGAAGUCCUGUAUGAAUGAAAUAUUGGAGGAUAUCUUUAUUUUUGAUAUUAAUUGAAAUUACUUAUUAAGUGCAAAUACUUUUAUAUAAAUGAUAGACGAGAAGACCCUAGAAAUUUAAAUUAAAUAAACUUUAUCUUUUUGUUGGGGCAACAAGGUAACAUUAAAUUUACCGUUUUGUACAUGAACAUUUUAUGUGGGAGACUAAAUUACUCUAGGGAUAACAGCGUUAUUUUAAAAAGUUUGCGACCUCGAUGUUGGACUAGGAAAUUUUUGCUUAGAA